RNAcentral lists this unclassified non-coding RNA (397 nucleotides) under fungal sp. RNAcentral describes it as "partial internal transcribed spacer region". The stretch from base 1 to 46 matches the Rfam family "Eukaryotic small subunit ribosomal RNA", at positions 1786 to 1831 of the family's 1831-position model. Lineage: Eukaryota; Fungi. The record is from RNAcentral.
AAGUCGUAACAAGGUUUCCGUAGGUGAACCUGCGGAAGGAUCAUUAACACGUAUCCAAACGUUAAACAACCCCGUGAACAUACAACCUGCUCUGGUCGCCCGCUCGCAUGGACAAGCCCAGUAAAUCAAGCCCCGGAAAGUUUUUGAUUUGGGACCUCUGUGCGCGUGAGAAAAACUGACAGCGAUUCAUAGAAGCGGUAGGUCAAGUGACACGGCGUCCCCAAGUGACCAGUGAAUGAAAGUGUCGCUGGAGCGUCAAGGACGACUCUUCAAGAGGUCGACCACCGACCGGCUUCCGUGUCGCUCCCUUCCGAACCCUUUAUUGCCUUGCCUGUAAGCAUCCAUACGGAUGGGCAGGCCCCCCGAACAACUGUUAACAAUGGAUAUCUUGGUUCUC